UAUUGGUCAAUGGUCGGGAGACUGGACCAGCCAAGCCGCGUGAGGGAGGAAGGUACAGAGUAUCGUAAACCUCUUUUGUCAGGGAACAAAGGCGGGGACGUGUCCCCCGAUGAGUGUACCUGAAGAAAAAGCAUCGGCUAACCGCGUGCCAGCAGCCGCGGUAAUACGGAGGAUGCGAGCGUUAUCCGGAUUCAUUGGGUUUAAAGGGGGCGCAGGCGGAGCGUCAAGCCGGCGGUAAAAUCGUGGGGCCCAACCCCAUCCCGCCGUCGGAACUGGCGCCCUUGAGUGGCCGAGAGGUAGGCGGAAUGCGUGGUGUAGCGGUGAAAUGCAUAGAUAUCACGCAGAACGCCGAUUGCGAAGGCAGCCUACUGGCGGCCCACUGACGCUCAGGCACGAAAGCGUGGGGAUCAAACAGG
This 416-nucleotide ribosomal RNA is filed under the name uncultured bacterium. Its description in RNAcentral is "bacterial SSU rRNA". It matches the Rfam family "Bacterial small subunit ribosomal RNA", at positions 362 to 776 of the family's 1533-position model. The record is from RNAcentral.